GGGGCACUAGCCUCAGUUGGUUAGAGCGCACCCUGAUAAGGGUGAGGUCGCUAGUUCGAGCCCAGCGUGCCCCA
This 74-nucleotide transfer RNA is filed under the name Sandaracinaceae bacterium. RNAcentral's name for it is "tRNA-OTHER". The record is from RNAcentral. Lineage: Bacteria; Pseudomonadati; Myxococcota; Polyangiales; Sandaracinaceae.